UAUACAACUUUCAGCAACGGAUCUCUUGGCUCUCGCAUCGAUGAAGAACGCAGCGAAAUGCGAUAAGUAAUGUGAAUUGCAGAAUUCAGUGAAUCAUCGAAUUUUUGAACGCAUCUUGCGCUCCUUGGUAUUCCAAGGAGCAUGCCUGUUUGAGUGUCAUCAAGUUCUCAACCACAUAUUUUUUGUGGCUUGGAUCGGUGGGGUGUUGCCGGCUGUUAUGGUAGGCUCUCCUUAAAUGAAUAAGUGGUAUUUAGAAAAGCUACUUGUUGGGUGUUAUAAAUUGAUAAUACACCUUCUGGCAAUUCUACUAUGCUGCUUCUAACACUUUGUUUAUGAUGAUUUUGACCUCAAAUCAGGUAGGACUACCCGCUGAACUUAAGCAUAUCAAUAAGCGGAGGAAAUCGUCGACCUGC
This 413-nucleotide ribosomal RNA is filed under the name uncultured Sebacina. RNAcentral's name for it is "eukaryotic LSU rRNA". The stretch from base 6 to 159 matches the Rfam family "5.8S ribosomal RNA". Lineage: Eukaryota; Fungi; Basidiomycota; Agaricomycetes; Sebacinales; Sebacinaceae. The record is from RNAcentral.